AUACGGAGGAUGCAAGCGUUAUCCGGAUUUAUUGGGUUUAAAGGGUGCGUAGGCGGUUUGCUAAGCGGGAGGUGAAAUGCCGGCGCUCAACGUCGGAAGUGCCUCCCGAACUGGUGGACUUGAAUGACUCUGCCGUGGGAGGAAUGUGUAGUGUAGCGGUGAAAUGCUUAGAGAUUACACAGAACACCGAUUGCGAAGGCAUCUCACGAAGGGUUGAUUGACGCUGAGGCACGAAAGCGUGGGGAUCAAACAGGAUUAGAUACCCUGGUAGUCCACGCAGUAAACGAUGAUGGCUAACCGCUGGAUCCAUCGGUUCAGUGGCCAAGCGAAAGCGAUAAGCCAUCCACCUGGGGAGUACGACCGCAAGGUUGAAACUCAAAGGAAUUGACGGG
Molecule: ribosomal RNA, 392 nt
Filed under: uncultured bacterium
Lineage: Bacteria
Description: partial 16S ribosomal RNA
Rfam family: Bacterial small subunit ribosomal RNA
Source: RNAcentral